AGUGAACGCUGGCGGUAGGCCUAACACAUGCAAGUCGAACGGCAGCACAGUAAGAGCUUGCUCUUACGGGUGGCGAGUGGCGGACGGGUGAGGAAUACAUCGGAAUCUACUUUUUCGUGGGGGAUAACGUAGGGAAACUUACGCUAAUACCGCAUACGACCUACGGGUGAAAGCAGGGGAUCUUCGGACCUUGCGCGAUUGAAUGAGCCGAUGUCGGAUUAGCUAGUUGGCGGGGUAAAGGCCCACCAAGGCGACGAUCCGUAGCUGGUCUGAGAGGAUGAUCAGCCACACUGGAACUGAGACACGGUCCAAACUCCUACGGGAGGCAGCAGUGGGGAAUAUUGGACAAUGGGCGAAAGCCUGAUCCAGCCAUACCGCGUGGGUGAAGAAGGCCUUCGGGUUGUAAAGCCCUUUUGUUGGGAAAGAAAAGCGGCAGGUUAAUACCCCGCUGUUCUGACGGUACCCAAAGAAUAAGCACCGGCUAACUUCGU
This 491-nucleotide ribosomal RNA is filed under the name uncultured bacterium. RNAcentral describes it as "partial 16S ribosomal RNA". It matches the Rfam family "Bacterial small subunit ribosomal RNA", at positions 29 to 506 of the family's 1533-position model. The record is from RNAcentral.